GCUUCUCUGCAAAGAUUUGUGCUUACUGACUUAUAGGGAAGGGAAGGCCAGCCGCAGGGAGUUGCAGAAUGAAGUCACCUCUAUGCCCACUGGGUGAAAGGAACUUCAAGCUUCCCCAUUGCUACCGAGGAGGAGCCCCAGCUCCGGGCCUCAGCAGGUCCCAGAAGGCCUGAGAGCUUUGCUUCUAAGUGGAGGGAGAAGACCCAGAGAGGCCCAGACGGUGAGCUACUCUGGGUCCGAGACGUGCCUGAGAGAGCAGGGCUUUGUACAGUUGGUAGCGAGAGAGAAUGUACCCUGCAGGAGAGAGGCGCGGCUUUCUCUCUGUUUCGCUGCCUUCCGGAACACAGCAGGUGACGCUGGGCCUUCAGGUGCCUUCAGAGCGGCGUCCACGUUGACAGAGCCUAGUAACUUAAGGUUCGUUCUGACAACGGCUUUGAAGUCAGAUGGAAAAGGAGCACUACCUUUGGCACUGCAUGGCCCCAAGCCCAGACUGAGAUGGGGAGGAGCAGUGAGGCAGGCACUAGUUCUGGAAAAUCAGUGCUGACAGGUCAUUUUUACUCUGGGGUGUAGCAUUCUCUCAUUUUUUUCCCCCUUUCUUGACCAAAAAUGUAACUUCUUACCCCAGGAAAGCAAAGCUGCAGCAGGGGAGAGAUGCCCUCGGGGCUGGCUGGCAACAAUUUCCUUCCUAGUAAAAGAGAGAAGCAAAAAAUUGCCAUUUGCUUAUACUUUGGACUUGUAUAUGGAAGUUCAGUUAUAUUCGCUAGUUAAUGGUGCUCAUUUACAGAAAGCAUUGUUUUGGUCUUGGUUCCAAAUACAUGUGAAAUUUCACUCUAAAACACAUACUCCUGUAAAUUUUUGUUUUAAUUUUUGCUUAAAAUGCUGACUUCUCAAGUUAUUUUUCUGCACCAGUAGAAAAGACUUAACCAAAGUUUCCUGUAAAAUUAAUACUUCUGCCAUCAUGCUAUUCCAGAAACACCUCCAUGUACUUUGAAUGUGUCUAAAAGAUGUAAUCAGGAGAGUCAGAAUGGAAAGGUCAAAAGGACGACUUAAUGGCAAUCAUGUUCUUUGUAUUUUCAUUUGUCUCAGGGUUUCCCCUAAUAUAGAGUGAUUCUUGUGUAUCCCCAGUAUGAAAUGGUACCUGUUGGCAUGUUAUAUGUUGAGUUUGCAUGUUAUAAGGAACUUAAAUAACCUGGAAUAUUUCUCAUUUCUUAUGGCCCAUCAAAAAAUUUUACUUUACAUUUGCUGGUACUCUAGUGUGCAUAAUUCAUGAUUUAUUCACUCAACAUGGAGUUCCCUCUAUGGGCUAGGCAUAGGAAACAAAGGUGAAGACCCACCCUUAAAUAACUCAGCCUGGUUGUGUGUGGAUUUAGAUGUGUAAGUGACAGGAAGAGUGUGCCGAGAGCAUUGAGGAAGAAAGGUUUAAUUCCAUCUGGAUGAGUCGAUAUUUGCUGGGGUCCUGAGCCCAGGCACUGAAUUCUGACUUCACUGCUUUCUAGUCAUCUGACUGGGGCAAGUUUCUGAACCUAUCUGAGCCCCAGUUUCAACACCUAUACUACAUAGGAAGAAUAAUGGGACCCACAUCAUGGAUUUUUUUUUUUCCCCGUGGUGAUUCAAUAGAAUGCAUUAUAGCAACCACUCUAUGUGUGUGGGUGGUGAUGAUGAUGAUGAUGCUGGGGGAGGUGGAGUGAGGAUGAAGGCAAAGAGAUGGAGAAGGCGUCACAGAGAUUAUAGGGUCAGGAAUUCAGUGGGUAAAGGAGGAAGAUGUGGAAGAGUGAAGAACAUUCCAGCUGGGGCCCCGUGCUGUGUUUUAACAAGCCCCCAGGUGAUUCUGAGGCACAGUGAAGUUCAAGAACCAUUGAGCCGUGAGUCAGCCAAGCAAUCUGUGCCGUUGGACCUGAGUUGGAUGCGGACCCCGGCACUUAGGAGCACCCGAUGAUGUCACAGGAAGGCACCAUUGUCCACGUGCUUUGAACUCGGAGGAACACUGAUGCCCGAUAGGCAUGCCUGCAUGUUGAGUUGCUUCAGUCAUGUCUGACUCUGUGACCGCAUGAACUGUAGCCUUCAGGCUCUGCUAUUCAUGGGAUUCUCCAGGCAAGGAUACUGGAGUGGGUUGCUAUGCCCUCCUCCAGGGGACCUUUCCAACCCAGAGAUAGAAUCGACAUCAGGUCACAGUGCUGCUUGCAGAGAGGACGAGCAGUGGGGAUAAAGUGAGGCCAGGAGGCUGAGUGCUCCCUUCUGGCUGGUGGCCUAUAGCCUCUGCCUGUUACUGCACUGCCUGCUGGACUAAGAAGGCUGCUCGAGCUCUAGCCAUCACUUCCACAUUCUGAUGAGCAAGAAAAGAAGAAGAUGUGAAGGAUUUCUUUUUCAGUUUAAGGACAUUUCCUAAAAGUUGACCACCAUGUCUCCAUGUGUAAAUCGUUGGUUAGCACUGAGUCAAAUGGAAUUACUAACUGCAGGGACACUCAGAGAUGUAAUUUUUACUCCAGAUGGCCAUGAAUCCAGGGAGUCUCAUCCAUUAGCGGCUUAUCAGGAGACAGAAACCAAAUCCCUUAUUUGAAGAUGUUCACAGGUAAGUGAAAGAUGAAAAGGGAAGUCUUCAGAUACCAUGGAAGUGGUCACUGCAGGAAGUAGCUACCGCCCCCGGGGCUGAGGAAACAGAGGGAAGAGGUUACAUUAUUAAAACUUAGCAAUCACGAGGGCAGGCCCCAUGGAACUGAAACUUGGACCUCUGAAGAGUGGAUGCUACUUGCUGGGGCUGGCGUCUCUGAGCUCCCAGGACUGUGGGACCCAGACUCGGUGAAGCCUGCUGCCGGCUGUGGUCCUGGCGGCCCACUCCACAAAGCGGAUUCUAAGUGUUGGGGAAGCUGAAAACUGGAUUCAGUGACUGCUCUGGGAAGGAACUGUCACUGCUGGAGUGAAGAAGCGUGGCUGGGGUGACACUCCCAGGACCAGGAGGCAGACAAGACAAAGCGAGCCUCUUCCUCUUUCAGCCUUGCAGCUCUGAUGGCAGAAACUAGCGCAGAGCCCGCUGGCGGAGCGGAGCUGCAGUCAGCAGGAACCCAGCUGCAGAGCAGAGAAGGGGGGCUUCACACUGAAAGUCAGCCACUUCAUAACUGGCCCGGGAGGUAGUGUAUGGAUGUAAGAAGACAUCACUCUAGAUCAGUGAUCCUAACAGCUCCAUGGCAUCCGACAUCAAGACAAGCAGAAAUGACCGGAGGAGAGGAGGGUCAAGUCAUCGGAAGUCUCUCAAGGCCCUGAGAACAGCUGGACAGGAUCACAAACCCCCUGAGUGCCUGCCGCCCCCCUCCCCCGCCUCCACGCCCUGCAGUCCCUCAGACCACUCCCUAGCACAUUUCUGACCUGGUCACGUUUAACUCUUGAAUUGAUCUUGCCAUUGCCAGCACGGAACGUUCCAUCCAGAUCAACCCACAGCAGUUCAUGGAAAAGCUGUGGACAAACAAGGCUGAAUAAAGACAUUUCCUCCUGUGCGUCUGGCAGGUUUUCUCGAGCCUUUUGCCAGGAUUCAUUUCCACCUUUUCUGGAUGACUAGGGCUGGAGGAUAAUGUGGGAUCAGGGACACAGGGAGCUUACCCAGUAAGAGAUUAAUUUUAGUUGCGCAAAGCUGUUUGAAUGAAACUUCAGGUACAUUGAUGAUACGUGUGGGCUCUGAUCCAGUGUGUAAAGCCACAGGAUGAAGUUUUAACCUAACAUUAAUGUUUAAAUUCUCUUUUGGGACCUCUGUUAUAUGUAAGUCCAGCACCAAUAUGAUAAAAGAGGAAAAAAGAAUUAUUCAGAGUUAAAUAUAAGAUGACAAUUGAGAAAAAGAAAACACAUUUCUCACAUACCCUCUGGUACCCUUUUCUUCCCAUUAGCAUUUUCCUUGCUGCAACUCCACAAAGACAAAUAGAUGGCUGGAGCUAAAACAUUAUUUGGUGGUGGUGGGAAUACAGCGAGCAGGAGGGUAUGGGGAGGGGGGUGAGGGAUGGAGAGCUAAGUUUUCUCCUGAUGAUAAAAGUAGUAAAAUCUUGCUGUUGAAAUCUAAAAAGUACCAAAAAAUGUAACAGGAGGUAAAAAAUAAACUACCCAUAAUGUUAUCAUUUUGGUAUUUCUUCUUCUAGGAGAGGCAUAUUCACACUGACUAUGCCAUUUUACAUAGUCUUUUUUUUUUUUCUACACAAAGCAUUUAAAAUGUCCUAUCUGAAAGCUGAUAUUUAAGUCUAUUGUGUGGAUACCUCAUGUUUUUCUUCAUUGUUCUUAUCAUCAUCCUUACUUUUAAAAAAAUGUUAAACUAUUAUGAAGAAUUCUGAAAUGAACAUCUUUGUGCAUCUGGUAUUUUCUGUUAAGAAAGAUUCCAAGGAGUGAGACUUCUGAACCAAAACCUAUAGGCAUUUCAUAGGCUCUCUUUCUACUGCAAAAUUUCUUUCCCAGCAGGGGAUUCUAAUCUCGGAGUUCCUCUUAUAUGGUGCAUGAAAGUAUCUUGGUGGCCUUGAGCAUUAUCUCUUUUUGUUUUAAAGAGCUGAUAUGAUACAAUAAUAAUUAAAAGUACAUGGUUGCUGCAUUUCUUUGUGUACAUAUUUGAUUAUUAGUAAGAUUGAACAUUUUAAUUCAAUCUAUAUUAACCAUACGGGCAAGGAUUGUGUCUAUUUUGCUUAUUUCUGAAUCUCUAGUUCUGAGGAGAGUGUCUGACAUAUAGAAGGCACCCAAUAAAUACUUUACAAAAUUAAUUUUUAAAUGAUAAACUGCCCACUUAUCUAUUCAGAAUAGUGUUUUUAAUGAUCAGAUAUUUGAAAUGAUAAAAUCCAGUGUUGGAAAGUCUACAGUUUUAUAACAGUUAUAAAAAGUAGCAAGUUAACAUUCCCACAUGUGUGAAUUAAUUUAUGUUUCUAAUUUUGGAAUAUUUGUAGUCUUGAGGACAGAAUCAUGGAAAAGAAGUCACUAAAAUGAGUUUGUAUUAUGGCUUAACUGUGUGAUGGGUGACAAACAAGGACCUACCGUAUAGCACAGGGACCCUCUGCUCCGUGUUAGCGGCAGCCUGGAUGGAAGGGGAGUUUGGGGGAGAAGGGAUGUGUAUGGCUGAGUCCCUCUGCUGUUCAUCUGAAACUGUCACAACAUUGUCUGUUAAUUGGCUAUACCCCAAUACAAAAUAUAAACUUAAAAAAAAGUUAACUCUGUGACUUUUAAGGUUUUAAUGUCUCCUCCAAAAAUCAAAGCAAAAUUUUAA
Long non-coding RNA from Dama dama (fallow deer), 5221 nucleotides. RefSeq lists it as uncharacterized. The transcript is spliced from 6 exons. The record is from RefSeq and is a predicted model, not a curated record. NCBI's taxonomy places the organism in Eukaryota, Metazoa, Chordata, Mammalia, Artiodactyla, Cervidae.